UUGUUGGUUUCGUGCGUCCAGCGUCGUUCUGCCACUUCUGCGUCGUUCAUUUUAGCUUGAGAAAUUUUCGCAGGUGAUUGAUUAAAAAUCCAAAGUAAUCUAGCUAUUCCGAACGGAUCUAGGCUCGUUUGAAGGAGGAGAUGAGAGCUAAGUGGCGUAAAAAGAGGAUGCGGAGGCUAAAGCGGAAGAGGAGGAAGAUGCGUGCGAGGUCUAAAUAAGCAGUUUCUUUCCACAAUCUUGCUGUGGGGAGAACCGACGUUUCACCAUUCGACGAACACUCCUGACUGAUUGAAAUUCCUCAGGAAGAUGAAUCUUCAAUGGACACGUUUUUCGCGUUGAGAGAAUUUUGUACAUGUAAAUCUUGUUUGGUUAAAUACAUCAACUACUCAAGUCAGAACUUAA
Molecule: long non-coding RNA, 402 nt
Organism: Cyphomyrmex costatus
Lineage: Eukaryota; Metazoa; Arthropoda; Insecta; Hymenoptera; Formicidae
Exons: 3
Source: RefSeq, a predicted model, not a curated record